UCAUACCAUUAUAUUUACCAU
This 21-nucleotide non-coding RNA is filed under the name Caenorhabditis elegans. The record is from RNAcentral. Lineage: Eukaryota; Metazoa; Nematoda; Chromadorea; Rhabditida; Rhabditidae.